Molecule: long non-coding RNA, 621 nt
Organism: Acinonyx jubatus (cheetah)
Lineage: Eukaryota; Metazoa; Chordata; Mammalia; Carnivora; Felidae
Exons: 3
Source: RefSeq, a predicted model, not a curated record
CAUUAUCAUAAGAAGAGCGAGUACAGUACAAUGAGGGUCAUAAGUCAGAUUCCUCCACUCCAAAAGAUGAAAUUAUGGCUGAAACACCUGCAAUACUACCACUAGAGCAGAGCAACUGGAGAAAACCCAGAUGACCCUGGAAGAGAAACUCUCUAAGGAUAUGAUGCCUUAAGAAUGACACAUCCCUGUGGCUGGUGACCUAAACAGAGUAUUGCAUUCAGUCUAAUGUGAACUGGAGGAGCAGCUAUACUUCCUUGAAGGUCCUUCCUGAAAAGGAUUUUCUCUGGGGUGGGGUGACUGGGUUAUUAAUAAAGGCAAACAAACAAAACAAAAUAGAAGACAGGCAUUUUUCUAAUUGUACCAAAACCUCAGGAAUGAAGCAUCUCUGACAAAUCAUACUCAAUACAAAAUUAGAAAAAGAAACUCACUCGUACUGGGAAGAUGUUAACCCUAACAACUCCCAAAUCCAAAGUUAAUCAUUCCUUGGUACCUGGCUAUGCUUGAGUUUUCACCCCUGUACAUUCAAAUUCUUAUCAGUACAUCAGAAAGAACAAGAACUUUGGACUCAGGUCCCAAGACCUAGAUCCUAAUUUGAAUACUCAGACUUACUAGCUAUUUAUC